Molecule: ribosomal RNA, 309 nt
Filed under: Triticum aestivum (bread wheat)
Lineage: Eukaryota; Viridiplantae; Streptophyta; Magnoliopsida; Poales; Poaceae
Description: partial small subunit ribosomal RNA
Source: RNAcentral
AUGUGCUCGAUCAUGUGGGCACAUGUCAAUAUUAGUAUCUUCCGCCUACCAGCAGUCUCUAAGGCAGUCCAUAUUGCAGUAAAUCCAGUCGCAUCACAAGCAGCGACAAGCGCUUCUCCUUCCUUGCUCUGUGUGGUAUUUCAACUCAAGUUCCUCGCUCAAAUGAUUGUAUUUGAAAUUUACAAAUAUCUUGGUGCCGCCGCAAAAAGUAUGUGCUUACCAUGCUCUUUUGUUUUCCUCCAAUAUUUCAGAGUAUACCACGGACUAAAACUAACAUGGAGGAAAACAAAUCCAAACUCAUUACAUUAA